GCCGGGAUGUUGGAAUUGGUAGACAAGCAGGACUUAAAAUCCUGUGGUUGCAUAAACCGUGAGGGUUCGAGUCCCUCUCCCGGCA
Molecule: transfer RNA, 85 nt
Filed under: Candidatus Roizmanbacteria bacterium
Lineage: Bacteria; Candidatus Roizmaniibacteriota
Description: tRNA-Leu
Rfam family: tRNA
About the family: Transfer RNA (tRNA) molecules are approximately 80 nucleotides in length. Their secondary structure includes four short double-helical elements and three loops (D, anti-codon, and T loops). Further hydrogen bonds mediate the characteristic L-shaped molecular structure. tRNAs have two regions of fundamental functional importance: the anti-codon, which is responsible for specific mRNA codon recognition, and the 3' end, to which the tRNAs corresponding amino acid is attached (by aminoacyl-tRNA synthetases). tRNAs cope with the degeneracy of the genetic code in two manners: having more than one tRNA (with a specific anti-codon) for a particular amino acid; and 'wobble' base-pairing, i.e. permitting non-standard base-pairing at the 3rd anti-codon position.
Source: RNAcentral